Long non-coding RNA from Poeciliopsis prolifica (blackstripe livebearer), 236 nucleotides. RefSeq lists it as uncharacterized. The transcript has 3 exons. Lineage: Eukaryota; Metazoa; Chordata; Actinopteri; Cyprinodontiformes; Poeciliidae. The record is from RefSeq and is a predicted model, not a curated record.
CUCAGCUCCACAUUUCCCGAUAUGAACCUGCUGCAGGGACAACAUCCUCCCCUUUGUGCCCGGCUCAAUGAGUCCACGUGUACGACCAGUUCAAAGAUGCCACGUAAAGAGAGACGUCAGAAACAAAAAAGAAAGGAUCUGCUGGAAGCAGCGAAAGUUCCACGUUAAAGUUUGAUGCGGCUCUGUUUUUCUGAAUGGAGCGUCUUCAUCUCCACUGCAAGUACAGCGACCCAGGC